GGGGCUGAUUCUGGAUUCGACGGGAUUUGCGAAACCCAAGGUGCAUGCCGAGGGGCGGUUGGCCUCGUAAAAAGCCGCAAAAAAUAGUCGCAAACGACGAAAACUACGCUUUAGCAGCUUAAUAACCUGCUUAGAGCCCUCUCUCCCUAGCCUCCGCUCUUAGGACGGGGAUCAAGAGAGGUCAAACCCAAAAGAGAUCGCGUGGAAGCCCUGCCUGGGGUUGAAGCGUUAAAACUUAAUCAGGCUAGUUUGUUAGUGGCGUGUCCGUCCGCAGCUGGCAAGCGAAUGUAAAGACUGACUAAGCAUGUAGUACCGAGGAUGUAGGAAUUUCGGACGCGGGUUCAACUCCCGCCAGCUCCAC
Molecule: transfer-messenger RNA, 361 nt
Filed under: Escherichia coli
Lineage: Bacteria; Pseudomonadati; Pseudomonadota; Gammaproteobacteria; Enterobacterales; Enterobacteriaceae
Rfam family: transfer-messenger RNA
About the family: Bacterial tmRNA, also known as 10Sa RNA or SsrA, is named for its dual tRNA and mRNA-like properties. Its role is to liberate the mRNA from a stalled ribosome. To accomplish this part of the tmRNA is used as a reading frame that ends in a translation stop signal.
Source: RNAcentral